This 500-nucleotide ribosomal RNA is filed under the name uncultured sulfate-reducing bacterium. RNAcentral describes it as "bacterial SSU rRNA". It matches the Rfam family "Bacterial small subunit ribosomal RNA", at positions 227 to 717 of the family's 1533-position model. The record is from RNAcentral.
GGGUCCGCGUUUCAUUAGCUANCCUGNUAGGGUAAUGGCCUACCAAGGCAACGAUGAGUAGCUGGUCUGAGAGGAUGAUCAGCCACACUGGAACUGAAACACGGUCCAGACUCCUACGGGAGGCAGCAGUGGGGAAUAUUGCGCAAUGGGCGAAAGCCUGACGCAGCAACGCCGUGUGAGGGAUGAAGGCUUUCGGGUCGUAAACCUCUGUCGGAAGGGAAGAACGGGCAAUGGUCUAAUAGGCCGUUGUUUUGACGGUACCUUUAGAGGAAGCACCGGCUAACUCCGUGCCAGCAGCCGCGGUAAUACGGAGGGUGCAAGCGUUAUUCGGAAUUACUGGGCGUAAAGCGCACGUAGGCCGCUUUGUAAGUCAGGGGUGAAAUCCCACGGCUCAACCGUGGAACUGCCUUUGAUACUGCACAACUUGAAUCCGGGAGAGGGUGGCGGAAUUCCAGGUGUAGGAGUGAAAUCCGUAGAUAUCUGGAGGAACAUCAGUGGCG